Molecule: ribosomal RNA, 500 nt
Filed under: uncultured bacterium
Lineage: Bacteria
Description: partial 16S ribosomal RNA
Rfam family: Bacterial small subunit ribosomal RNA
Source: RNAcentral
AUUGAACGCUGGCGGAAUGCUUUACACAUGCAAGUCGAACGGCAGCACGGACUUCGGUCUGGUGGCGAGUGGCGAACGGGUGAGUAAUACAUCGGAACGUGCCCAGUCGUGGGGGAUAACGUAGCGAAAGCUACGCUAAUACCGCAUACGAUCUAAGGAUGAAAGCGGGGGAUCGCAAGACCUCGCGCGAUUGGAGCGGCCGAGGGCAGAUUAGGUAGUUGGUGGGGUAAAGGCGCACCAAGCCGACGAUCUGUAGCUGGUCUGAGAGGACGACCAGCCACACUGGGACUGAGACACGGCCCAGACUCCUACGGGAGGCAGCAGUGGGGAAUUUUGGACAAUGGGCGCAAGCCUGAUCCAGCCAUUCCGCGUGCAGGAUGAAGGCCCUCGGGUUGUAAACUGCUUUUGUACGGAACGAAAAGGCUCUGGUUAAUACCCGGGGCUCAUGACGGUACCGUAAGAACAAGCACCGGCUAACUACGUGCCAGCCGCCGCGGUAA